Non-coding RNA from Rattus norvegicus (Norway rat), 73 nucleotides. Lineage: Eukaryota; Metazoa; Chordata; Mammalia; Rodentia; Muridae. The record is from Rfam.
GGAGAGGUGGCUCAAUAGGUAAGAGCACUGGCUACUCUUCAAGAGGACCUGGGUUUGAUUCCCAGCACCCCCA